RNAcentral lists this ribosomal RNA (429 nucleotides) under uncultured bacterium. RNAcentral describes it as "bacterial SSU rRNA". It matches the Rfam family "Bacterial small subunit ribosomal RNA", at positions 355 to 776 of the family's 1533-position model. The record is from RNAcentral.
UGGGGAAUAUUGGACAAUGGGGGAAACCCUGAUCCAGCGACGCCGCGUGUGUGAAGAAGGCCUGCGGGUUGUAAAGCACUUUUAGUGGGGAUGAAAAGCUUCGCUCUAAUAAAGCGGGGUCUUGACCUAACCCAAAGAAAAAGCACCGGCUAACUCUGUGCCAGCAGCCGCGGUAAUACAGAGGGUGCGAGCGUUAAUCGGAAUUACUGGGCGUAAAGCGCGCGUAGGUGGUUUUGUAAGUCGGGUGUGAAAGCCCCAGGCUCAACCUGGGAACUGCACUCGAGACUGCAUGACUGGAGUAUGGGAGAGGGCAGUGGAAUUUCCGGUGUAGCGGUGAAAUGCGUAGAUAUCGGAAGGAACAUCAGUGGCGAAAGCGACUGCCUGGACCAAUACUGACGCUCAUGUGCGAAAGCGUGGGGAGCAAACAGG